This 497-nucleotide ribosomal RNA is filed under the name uncultured bacterium. RNAcentral describes it as "partial 16S ribosomal RNA". It matches the Rfam family "Bacterial small subunit ribosomal RNA", at positions 28 to 507 of the family's 1533-position model. The record is from RNAcentral.
GAUGAACGCUGGCGGCGUGCCUAAUACAUGCCAGUCGAGCGAACAGAUAAGGAGCUUGCUCCUUUGACGUUAGCGGCGGACGGGUGAGUAACACGUGGAUAACCUACCUAUAAGACUGGGUUAACUUCGGGAAACCGGAGCUAAUACCGGAUAACAUAUUGAACCGCAUGGUUCAAUAGUGAAAGGCGGCUUUGCUGUCACUUAUAGAUGGAUCCGCGCCGUAUUAGCUAGUUGGUAAGGUAACGGCUUACCAAGGCAACGAUACGUAGCCGACCUGAGAGGGUGAUCGGCCACACUGGAACUGAGACACGGUCCAGACUCCUACGGGAGGCAGCAGUAGGGAAUCUUCCGCAAUGGGCGAAAGCCUGACGGAGCAACGCCGCGUGAGUGAUGAAGGUCUUCGGAUCGUAAAACUCUGUUAUCAGGGAAGAACAAAUGUGUAAGUAACUGUGCACAUCUUGACGGUACCUGAUCAGAAAGCCACGGCUAACUACGUG